Long non-coding RNA from Callithrix jacchus (white-tufted-ear marmoset), 1932 nucleotides. The record is from Ensembl. Lineage: Eukaryota; Metazoa; Chordata; Mammalia; Primates; Cebidae.
UUCUCUUCCCUCCCCUCCCCUCCCCUCCCUUUCCGCUUCCCUCCCUUCCCUUUCCGCUUCCCUCUUCUUCUUUCUGAUAUCCCCGGAAGUCUGUAAAUCUCAUAAGUCAUAGUCUUGGUCUCAGAGUCUACUUUGGGGUACCAAAUUUAAGGCAUUUCUUCCACUAUAGAAAGUAAGAAAUUUUAGGCUGGGUGCAGUGGCUCACGCCUUUAAUUCCAGCACUUUGGGAGACUGAGGCGGUUGGAUCACGAGGUCAGGAGAUGGAGACCAUCCUGGCUAACAUGGGGGAAAUCCCGGCUCUACUAAAAAUACAAAAAAUUAGCCGGAAGUGGUGGUGCACACCUGUACUCCCAGCUACUCGGAAGGCUGAGGCAGGAGAAAUGCUUGAACCCAGGAGGCAGAGGUUGCAAUGAGCCAAGAUCGUGCCACUGCACUCCAGCCUGGCGACAGAGGGAGACUCUGCCUCAAAAAAAAAAAAAAAAAAAGAAAAAAAGAAAGAAAGAAAAAAGAAAAAGAAAGAAGAAAUUUUAUUCUCCUAAAUAGUUGUGAGCAGCUCUGGGAGAGGAACAAAGCAUAUGCAGAAGAUUUCAAAAAACGGACAAUGAUAAAUGAACAGCCAUCAAAGCCCUGUAGUACGAUGACUGUGACCUUAAUUUUGCAGUUAACACUCUAUAUUGCUUGUCUGAAAUGUGCACUCCAUCCUUUUCUCUUGGCUUUUCACUGCCUGCUGAUGUUUUGUUUUCUUUGUUUUCAUGUUCUUUCUCAUUAAGAUCAAUUCCUCUCUAUGAAACACCCCACUGUAGAACACUAAGACAGGCCUCAUAGACCAAAGAGCAUCUAAACCCUACACAACUGUGCAGUCUUCCCACUCUGAAAUAUAUACAUACACAAGCAUAACAUUAAUAUAUAUAUAUCAUAUAUAGACAUCCACAUAAUUUACUAGUAUGUACAUAUAUUUUUUGUGUAUCUAUAUUAUCUAUCCAUCUACCUAUCUACCAUCUAUCUCCUCAGAAAAGAAAUUCCAAGAUUAAUACAUUAUCACUUACCUCUGAACGAAAGAUCAUUUUUCUUUUGGUGAUGGAGGGGCAUUGAAAAUCCAAAACCAACUUUUAAAAGCCUCUUGACCUAUCCUUUAAAUGCCCUUCUAAAGAAGCACUCCCAUGCCUGUAAUCUCAGCACUUCGGAGGCUGAGGCAGGCGGAUCAUGAGGUCAAGAGAUUGAGACCACCCUGGCCAACAUGGUGAAACCCCAUCUCUACUAAAAAUACCUCUGGUUGCUCUGUGAGUUGUCAUGGAGAAGCAACUCUUACAGGUGUGAAGGGGCAGUUGCCAUCCAGUUUUCACAAGCAUGUGCAGGUGUCUGCCCAGAUAGUGUCACGAUGCUAAGAAGACAACAAUGCUCUUGUCAAACAUGUCAGGAAGAAAAUUAUGGUGGUCAAAAGCCACUCAUCAGCCACUGAACACAGAUUUCCACUGCUUCGCCGGCCUUCCCACUGCAAAUCACUAUUCCAAACAUAAAUACACAACUUUCAAAAAGGAAAAAAAGGGAACCAGCCUCAGGGUCCCCUGGUUUUCACCUAUAGUACUUGCAUUUUUCUGAUCUUUCUGGGAGUGGACUGGCAUGGGUAUUUGCUGCCACUAAACCUCGUGACAGCUAAUACUCAUGACACAGCAGCUGGUCCCUGAGCUCCAAAUAUAUAUUGGGAACAAAUGAGGAGAUUAAGCAGGCACAACAAUGCUUUCUGGUGAGGACACUGGUACUUACAGAUUUGUUAGAACCUACUUUUCUUUAGUAAGAAAUUACUAGCCUGUGCUGUGACUCAUUGGUGGGCUAGAUGUUAAGUGGCUUCAGGUAGAAUCUGGUCUUUCCUAGGACUUCCAGCAAAUCUUCUGUACUUCAUGGUGAUAAUAAUAGUGAACAUUCAGCAAUUAC